This 118-nucleotide long non-coding RNA is filed under the name Mus musculus (house mouse). Its description in RNAcentral is "predicted gene, 40264". RNAcentral also lists the same sequence under 1 other name. The record is from RNAcentral. Lineage: Eukaryota; Metazoa; Chordata; Mammalia; Rodentia; Muridae.
CAAUCACUAGUCCUGUACAGCUUCCCACAGCAAUGAGCAGCACUGCAAGAUACCCCAAAAGCUCUCGCCUUGGAAAUCCACAGAGGUGAUAUAAAUGAAGAGGAGAAAAGAGGAAACU